RNAcentral lists this ribosomal RNA (479 nucleotides) under Daphnia cf. pulex DJT-2010. RNAcentral's name for it is "partial 12S ribosomal RNA". The stretch from base 132 to 479 matches the Rfam family "Microsporidia small subunit ribosomal RNA", at positions 752 to 1211 of the family's 1311-position model. The record is from RNAcentral. Lineage: Eukaryota; Metazoa; Arthropoda; Branchiopoda; Diplostraca; Daphniidae.
GAUGGUGAGUUUUAAUUAUUAAGGUGAAAUUUUUAAUUACUUGUAAAUUCUCUAAUAAUCUCUUGGAACUAAGAAAUUUAGAUUAAAAACCAGGAUUAGAUACCCUGUUAUUCUAAAUAAUCACAUGAGUAGGGUAGUAAAAGUUGUUCUUCAAACCCAAAGAUUUUGGCGGCAUUCCAUCCCAAUAGAGGAGCUUGUCCUGUAAUUGAUAGACCUCAUUUUAUCUUACCCUCUUUUGUUUAGCUUGUAUACCGCCGUUGUCAGACUACUUUAAAAGAAUGUUUUCUAUAAAAAUAUUUUUUUCACUUCAGGUCAAGGUGCAGCUUAUGGGAGGGUAGCGAUGAGCUACAAUUUUAAAUAAAAAUACGGACUCUAGGCUUAAAAACUGGAGGAAGGUGGAUUUAUUAGUAAAUUUAUUUAAGUAUAAUAAAUUGAAUAAGGCAAUGGAAUGUGCACAUAUCGCCCGUCACUCUCUUCUU